GAGUUCAGAACCCAAUGCUUCCCACUCACCGGGUUGAGACCUCCCUUAAUAGCCCAUACCUGUUUUGAAAUCUGAACUGAACAGAGAUGCUAAAAGCAUUUUAUGGCACCAUACCCUUCACACUUCUCCCCCUGCUUGUUCUCCAGCAGGCAGAAGAAAAUCUGCUGCAGUUCCCAUCUUUGCUAGGAAGCCUGAUCAGACUCUGGGACACAAGUUUGAAUGCAAGAGCAGCAAAGAAGGAAAAUCUAGAAUCCAACAGCCUCAUCCUUCACACAUUUACAGUUUUAGAUCAGGCAGUAUGAAAUACCUUUUUCUGGAACCCCGGCUGGCAACUGGCUUGGGCUUUAAAGCCAUCCUCAAGGAAUGUGCGCUCCACAGUGAAUACAGUACACUGUCACAGAAACUUAAGUGUGAUCUACAAUGAAGAAACAAAUGCCUUCAGCUGCAGAAAGUUAAAUGCUGCCAUUGAGCUGGCUGGGACCAGCAUGUGGAAGGAGUGGGCAUGAAGAUCAGUAAGGUCUGGUAGAUACCCUUUGACAUUAAUACCACCUCAGUGAUUUGGCAUCCCCCUUGAUUCAGUUUUCCAUACCUUUAUUUGUCCUAUAGGCUGAUACAAAAUCAUAUUUCAUAAGGCAGAAUAAAACUGCAGCUAUGCUAGCACAGUGAGGUGAAACCACUUAGAGAAAAACAAGAACCACCCUAAACAAGGAUUCCUCAAAGUAACAGACACAAACUGCCAAGGCCUGCACUGUUGAGGUCCUGGACUCAUGGAUCACCUGCACUUCUGGGGACAAUUCUGCAUUUCUACCUGCUCUCCUCCCUACAAACCAAGUGCAUGGCAGCAGCACAGAUCCUAGCUAAAGGGACAGCUGGCUAACCUGGAGUCACUGAACUUGUUGAGUAAAUGUCAGUAAAACUUCACAGCAGAGCUUGGUAACCCUGCUCUAGGGGACUGUCUACACUGAAAACACACUGCUUUAGAUCAAUCACAUAACUGGCUAUGUACUAAACUGCUACAGAAUCUGAAUAGAGACCUUUUUACAUCUGGCCCUGUUGGCUCUGCUGGUGGCUUUAGCUCCGCAU
Molecule: long non-coding RNA, 1083 nt
Organism: Passer domesticus (house sparrow)
Lineage: Eukaryota; Metazoa; Chordata; Aves; Passeriformes; Passeridae
Exons: 3
Source: RefSeq, a predicted model, not a curated record